CAGCACAUAUACAGUAUCUACGGUCUCACCACUGAAAUGAAGGGCCAGAUGACAGAGCUCAACGGAAGUGCCCAUUGUAUUCUAGUGGAGAGGUGAGAGCCAAGCGUUCUACAGAUUGUAUUCUCGUGGAGAGGUGAGAGUCAAGCGUUCUACAGAUUGUAUUCUAGUGGAGAGGUGAGAGCCAAGCGUUCUACAGAUUGUAUUCUAGUGGAGAGGUGAGAGCCAAGCGUUCUACAGAUUGUAUUCUCAUGGAGAGGUGAGAGCCAAGCAUUCUACAGAUUAUAUUCUAGUGGAGAGGUGAGAGCCAAGCGUUCUACAGAUUGUAUUCUCAUGGAGAGGUGAGAGCCAAGCGUUCUACAGAUUAUAUUCUAGUGGAGAGGUGAGAGCCAAGCAUUCUACAGAUUGUAUUCUCUUGGAGAGGUGAGAGUCAAGCGUUCUACAGAUUAUAUUCUAGUGGAGAGGUGAGAGCCAAG
This 473-nucleotide long non-coding RNA is filed under the name Salmo salar (Atlantic salmon). Its description in RNAcentral is "lncRNA (ENSSSAG00000082106.1)". The record is from RNAcentral. Lineage: Eukaryota; Metazoa; Chordata; Actinopteri; Salmoniformes; Salmonidae.